This 613-nucleotide ribosomal RNA is filed under the name Acarospora rugulosa. RNAcentral's name for it is "LSU rRNA". It matches the Rfam family "Eukaryotic large subunit ribosomal RNA", at positions 1 to 627 of the family's 3401-position model. Lineage: Eukaryota; Fungi; Ascomycota; Lecanoromycetes; Acarosporales; Acarosporaceae. The record is from RNAcentral.
GUUGACCUCGGAUCAGGUAGGGAUACCCGCUGAACUUAAGCAUAUCAAUAAGCGGAGGAAAAGAAACCAACAGGGAUUGCCUCAGUAACGGCGAGUGAAGCGGCAACAGCUCAAAUUUGAAAUCUGGCUCUUUCACGGUCCGAGUUGUAAUUUGCAGAGGAUGCUUCGGGUUCGGCUCCGGUCUAAGUUCCUUGGAACAGGACGUCAUAGAGGGUGAGAAUCCCGUAUGUGAUCGGUCGUCUCGCCCGUGUGAAGCUCCUUCGACGAGUCGAGUUGUUUGGGAAUGCAGCUCCAAAUGGGUGGUAAAUUUCAUCUAAAGCUAAAUAUUGGCCAGAGACCGAUAGCGCACAAGUAGAGUGAUCGAAAGAUGAAAAGCACUUUGGAAAGAGAGUCAAACAGUACGUGAAAUUGUUGAAAGGGAAGCGCUUGCAACCAGACUUGCCCGCGGGUGAUCAGCCGGUAUUCGUACCGGUGCACUCACCCGUGGUCAGGCCAGCAUCGGUUUGGGCGGCUGGAUAAAGUCCACCGGAAUGUAGCUCCUCUCGGGGAGUGUUAUAGCCGGAGGUGCCAUGCAGCCCGCCCGGACCGAGGACCGCGCUUCGGCUAGGAUGCU